GAUGAACGCUGGCGGCGUGCCUAAUACAUGCAAGUCGAGCGAACAGACGAGGAGCUUGCUCCUCUGACGUUAGCGGCGGACGGGUGAGUAACACGUGGAUCACCUACCUAUAAGACUGGGAUCACUUCGGGAAACCGGCGCUAAUACCGGAUAAUAUCUUGCACCGCAUGGUUCAAUAGUGAAAGACGGUUUUGCUGUCUCUUCUCGAUGGAUCCGCGCCGCAUUAGCUAGUUGGUAAGGUAACGGCUUACCAAGGCAACGAUGCGUAGCCGACCGGAGAGGCGGAUCGGCCACACUGGAACUGAGACACGGUCCAGACUCCUACGGGAGGCAGCAGUAGGGAAUCUUCGGCAAUGGGCGAAAGCUUGACGGAGCAACGCCGCGUGAGUGAUGAAGGUCUUCGGAUCGUAAAACUCUGUUAUUAGGGAAGAACAAAUGUGUAAGUAACUAUGCACGUCUUGACGGUACCUAAUCAGAAAGCCACGGCUAACUACGUG
This 497-nucleotide ribosomal RNA is filed under the name uncultured bacterium. Its description in RNAcentral is "partial 16S ribosomal RNA". It matches the Rfam family "Bacterial small subunit ribosomal RNA", at positions 28 to 507 of the family's 1533-position model. The record is from RNAcentral.